RNAcentral lists this ribosomal RNA (758 nucleotides) under Escherichia coli. Its description in RNAcentral is "partial 23S ribosomal RNA". It matches the Rfam family "Bacterial large subunit ribosomal RNA", at positions 2190 to 2925 of the family's 2925-position model. The record is from RNAcentral. Lineage: Bacteria; Pseudomonadati; Pseudomonadota; Gammaproteobacteria; Enterobacterales; Enterobacteriaceae.
CCUUGAAAUACCACCCUUUAAUGUUUGAUGUUCUAACGUUGACCCGUGAUCCGGGUUGCGGACAGUGUCUGGUGGGUAGUUUGACUGGGGCGGUCUCCUCCUAAAGAGUAACGGAGGAGCACGAAGGUUGGCUAAUCCUGGUCGGACAUCAGGAGGUUAGUGCAAUGGCAUAAGCCAGCUUGACUGCGAGCGUGACGGCGCGAGCAGGUGCGAAAGCAGGUCAUAGUGAUCCGGUGGUUCUGAAUGGAAGGGCCAUCGCUCAACGGAUAAAAGGUACUCCGGGGAUAACAGGCUGAUACCGCCCAAGAGUUCAUAUCGACGGCGGUGUUUGGCACCUCGAUGUCGGCUCAUCACAUCCUGGGGCUGAAGUAGGUCCCAAGGGUAUGGCUGUUCGCCAUUUAAAGUGGUACGCGAGCUGGGUUUAGAACGUCGUGAGACAGUUCGGUCCCUAUCUGCCGUGGGCGCUGGAGAACUGAGGGGGGCUGCUCCUAGUACGAGAGGACCGGAGUGGACGCAUCACUGGUGUUCGGGUUGUCAUGCCAAUGGCACUGCCCGGUAGCUAAAUGCGGAAGAGAUAAGUGCUGAAAGCAUCUAAGCACGAAACUUGCCCCGAGAUGAGUUCUCCCUGACUCCUUGAGAGUCCUGAAGGAACGUUGAAGACGACGACGUUGAUAGGCCGGGUGUGUAAGCGCAGCGAUGCGUUGAGCUAACCGGUACUAAUGAACCGUGAGGCUUAACCUUACAACGCCGAAGCUGUU